Varroa destructor (honeybee mite) is the source of this 817-nucleotide long non-coding RNA. The record is from RefSeq and is a predicted model, not a curated record. NCBI's taxonomy places the organism in Eukaryota, Metazoa, Arthropoda, Arachnida, Mesostigmata, Varroidae.
CGCGUUUGUAGCUCGGCGAUGGUUUAUUCAUCAGCGGUAAAUGCGAGCUUAGCGACCCUUCGAGAAGCCAUAUUAAUUAGUGAACACAGUGUUCCUGAAUUGACUUUCGCUUCGAGACCAUCAUAUAGCUGCUGACAAUGGAGAAAAAAUGGAUCACGUCAAGCCUCAUCGAUUCCAAUUUGCAAUAGUGUUUGGGCUAACCUUAAGGUGGUCGUCCCUUGUGCUGACGCAGCGCGAUACGUUAGAGUACGUGUCUUAUCUAUGUAUAAUGGUGUUGUUUAGUGUUAGUUACGAAGAUGUUCUUAGUAUAUAAACAAUCACGCGUCCUUCAAAGCAAAAAAGAAAUUCGGUGCUAUUAUUCAACCAACUUGAAUAACUUUCUUUUUUCAUUACGAAUAAAGGUCUGCAGGCCCUAUUAGUCGACGUUAUACGUCUACAUAUCGUGUUCAACCAAAUAAUUUGAAUCAUACUGAACGUUGUUUUUGGAUUGGAAAGGUUGUAAUAGAUCUGCAGGUAAUGAUGUCCUUUAGACGAGUACUAUUUCCGUAGCAUGACAAAAAACAUAGAGGCAUACAACGUUAGGGUUCUUCGUAUACGAAAUAGUUUAUGCAUAGACUGAUAUGGUGGUUAGUCAGCUUGUUUUGAAGAUCUAUAUUUUAUAAUAACUAAUUCUAAUAACGUUUAUAAAGCUUUGAACGUGAAGAACGAUAUUGCUUUAGCAGGUUCACCUCUAUUACCUUCAGAAAAAAACACAUCUCGUUCUUUCCAAUUUCAUAUAUUAAAACCGAUUGUAUGCAGUGAUUGUAGCGUAGCAAAG